This 107-nucleotide small nucleolar RNA is filed under the name Theobroma cacao (cacao). RNAcentral describes it as "Plant small nucleolar RNA R71". It matches the Rfam family "Plant small nucleolar RNA R71". From Rfam's summary of the family: R71 is a member of the C/D box family of snoRNAs containing the C (UGAUGA) and D (CUGA) box motifs. The record is from Rfam by way of RNAcentral. Lineage: Eukaryota; Viridiplantae; Streptophyta; Magnoliopsida; Malvales; Malvaceae.
AGCCCAUGAUGAGGACACCAUUGAGGUAAUCCUUUAUAUCUUUCCCAAGCCUCGUACAAUGAUUCAAAAUCUUACUGUAUGAAUGAUGUGAUAUCAUUCCUCAUUUU